UUGGUUUUCCCUUGAAGAGGAAAGGGUGAUGCAGCAAAGUAGCGUAAGUAUUUCCCUCAGUUUUUGAGAACCAAGGUAUCAAUCCAGUAGGAGGCCACGCACGAGUCCCUCGCACCUACAUCAGCAAAUAAAUCCUCGCAACCAACGCGAUAAGGGGUUGUCAAUCCCUACACGGUCACUUACGAGAGUGAGAUCUGAUAGAUAUCAUAAGAUAAUAUUUUUGGUAUUUUUAUGAUAAAGAUGCAAAGUAAAGAAAACAAAAUAAAAACGGUGCUAGAAAUAACUUGUUGUCGGGAGAUUAAUAUGAUGGAAGAUAGACCUGGGGGCCAUAGGUUUCACUAGUGGCUUCUCUCAAGAGCAUAAGUAUUUACGGUGGGUGAACAAAUUACUGUUGAGCAAUAGACAGAAUUGAGCAUAGUUAUGAGAAUAUCUAGGUAUGAUCAUGUAUAUAGGCAUCACGUCCGAGACAAGUAGACCGACUCCUGCCUACAUCUACUACUAUUACUCCACACAUCGACCGCUAUCCAGCAUGCAUCUAGAGUAUUAAGUUCAUAAGAACAGAGUAACGCUUUAAGCAAGAUGACAUGAUGUAGAGGGAUAAACUCAUGCAAUAUGAUAUAAACCCCAUCUUGUUAUCCUCGAUGGCAACAAUACAAUACGUGCCUUGCUGCCCCUACUGUCACUGGGAAAGGACACCGCAAGAUUGAACCCAAAGCUAAGCACUUCUCCCAUUGCAAGAAAGAUCAAUCUAGUAGGCCAAACCAAACUGAUAAUUCGAAGAGACUUGCAAAGAUAACCAAUCAUACAUAAAAGAAUUCAGAGAAGAUUCAAAUAUUGUUCAUAGAUAAACUUGAUCAUAAACCCACAAUUCAUCGGCCUCAACAAACACACCGCAAAAGAAGAUUACAUCGAAUAGAUCUCCACGAGAGAGGGGGAGAACAUUGUAUUGAGAUCCAAAAAGAGAGAAGAAGCCAUCUAGCUAAUAACUAUGGACCUGAAGGUCUGAGGUAAACUACUCACACAUCAUCGGAGAGGCUAUGGUGUUGAUGUAGAAGCCCUCCGUGAUCGAUGCCCCCUCCGGCGGAGCUCCGGAACAGGCCCCAAGAUGGGAUCUCACGGGUACAGAAGGUUGCGGCGGUGGAAUUAGGUUUUUGGCUCCGUAUCUGGUAGUUUGGGGGUACGCAGGUAUAUAUAGGAGGAAGGAGUACGUCGGUGGAGCAACAGGGGGCCCACGAGGGUGGAGGGCGCGCCCCCCUACAAGUCCUCUGGAUCAUGUUCAUUCCAAAAAUCACGUUCCCGAAGGUUUCAUUCCGUUUGUACUCCGUUUGAUAUUCUUUUUCUGCGAAACUCUGAAAUAGGCAAAAAACAGCAAUUCUGGGUUGGGCCUACGGUUAAUAGGUUAGUCCCAAAAAUAAUAUAGAAGUGUAUAAUAAAGCCCAAUAAUGUCCAAAACAGAAUAUAAUAUAGCAUGGAACAAUAACAAAUUAUAGAUUGGAGACGUAUCAAGCAUCCCCAAGCUUAAUUCCUGCUCGUCCUCGAGUAGGUAAAUGAUAAAAACAGAAUUUUUGAUGUGGAAUGCUACUAGGCAUAAUUUCAAUGUAAUUCUUCUUAAUUGUGGUAUGAAUAUUCAGAUCCGAAAGACUCAAGAAAAAAGUUUAAUAUUGACAUAAAAAUAAUAAUACUUCAAGCAUACUAACUAAGCAAUUAUGUCUUCUCAAAAUAACAUGGCCAAAGAAAGUUAUCCGUACAAAAUCAUAUAGUCUGGCUAUGCUCUAUCUUGACCACACAAAAUAUUUAAAUCAUGCACAACCCCGAUGGCAAGCCAAGCAAUUGUUUCAUACUUUUAGUGUUCUCAAACUUUUUCAAUCUUCACGCAAUACAUGAGCGUGAGCCAUGGACAUAGCACUAUAUGUGGAAUAGAAUGGUGGUUGUGGAGAAGACAAAAAAGGGAGAAGAUAGUCUCACAUCAACUAGGCGUAUCAACGGGCUAUGGAGAUGCCCAUUAAUAGAUAUCAAUGUGAGUGAGUAGGGAUUGCCAUGCAACGGAUGCACUAGAGCUAUAAGUAUAUGAAAGCUCAACAAAAGGAACUAAGUGGGUGUGCAUCCAACUCGCUUGCUCACGAAGACCUAGGGCAUUUUGAGGAAGCCCAUCAUUGUAAUAUACAAGCCAAGUUCUAUAAUGAAAAAUUCCCACUAGUAUAUGAAAGUGAUAUCAUAGGAGACUCUCUAUCAUGAAGAUAAUGGUGCUACUUUGAAGCACAAGUGUGGUAAAAGGAUAGUAACAUUGUCCCUUCUCUCUUUUUCUCUCAUUUUUUUAUUUGGGCCUUUUUUAUGGCCUCUUUUUUUUCGUCCGGAGUCUCACCCUGACUUGUGGGGGAAUCAUAGUCUCCAUCAUCCUUUCCUCACUUGGGACAAUGCUCUAAAAAUGAUGAUCAUCACACUUUUAUUUACUUACAACUCAACAAUUACAACUCAAUACUUAGAACAAAAUAUGACUCUAUGUGAAUGCCUCCGGCGGUGCGCCGGGAUAUGCAAUGAAUCAAGAGUGACAUGUAUGGAAGAAUUAUGAACGGUGGCUUUGCCACAAAUACAAUCUCAACUACAUGAUCAUGCGAAGCAAUAUGACAAUGAUGGAGCGUGUCAUAAUAAAUGAAACAGUGGUAAGUUGCAUGGCAAUAUAUCUCGGAAUGGCUAUGGAAAUGCCAUGAUAGGUAGGUAUGGUGGCUGUUUUGAGGAAGGUAUAUGGUGGGUGUAUGAUACCGGCGAAAAGUGUGCGGUAUUAGAGAGGCUAGAAAUAGUGGAAGGAGGAAAAGUGCGUAUAAUCCAUGGACUCAACAUUAGUCAUAAAGAACUCAUAUACUUAUUGCAAAAAUCUACAAGUUAUCAAAGCAAAGUAUUACGCGCACGCUCCUAGGGGGAUAGAUUGGUAGGAAAAGAACAUCGCUCGUCCCCGACCGCCACUCAUAAGGAAGACAAUCAAUAAAUAAAUCAUGCUCCGACUUCAUCACAUAACGGUUCACCAUACGUCCAUGCUACGGGAAUCACAAACUUUAACACAAGUAUUUCUCAAAUUCAAAACUACUCAACUAGCAUGACUCUAAUAUCAUCAUCUUCAUAUCUCAAAACAAUUAUCAAGCAUCAAACUUCUCAUAGUAUUCAACACACUCAUAAGAAUUUUUCUUUUUUAUUUACUAAUAUUGAAUGCCUAUUAUUGUUAAAGCAAACUACCAUGCUGUUUUGUAGGACUCUCAAAAUAAUAUAAGUGAAGCAUGAGAGAUCAAUAGUUUCUAUAAAACAAAAUCACCACCGUGCUCUAAAAGAUAUAAGUGAAGCACUAGAGCAAAAACUAUAUAACUCAAAAGAUAUAAGUGAAGCACAUAGAUUAUUCUAAUAAAUUCCGAAUCAAGUGUGUCUCUCUCAAAAGGUGUGUACAGAAAGGAUGAUUGUGGUAAACUAACAAAUGAAGACUCAAAUAAUACAAGACGCUCCAAGCAAAACACAUAUCAUGUGGUGAAUAAAAAUAUAGCUCCAAGUAAAGUUACCGAUGGAAGUAGACGAAAGAGGGGAUGCCUUCCGGGGCAUCCCCAAGCUUUGGCUUUUGGGUGUCCUUAGAUUAUCUUGGUGUGCCAUGGGCAUCACCAAGCUUAGGCUCUUGCCACUCCUUGUUCCAUAAUCCAUCAAAUCUUUCACCCAAAACUUGAAAACUUCACAACACAAAACUCAGCAGAAAAUCUCGUAAGCUCCGUUAGCGAAAGAAAACAAAAGACCACUUCAAGGUACUGUAAUGAACUCAUUCUUUAUUUAUAUUUGUGUUAAACCUACUGUAUUCCAACUUCUCUAUGGUUUAUAAACUAUUUUACUACCAAUAGAUUCAUCAAAAUAAGCAAACAACACAUGAAAAACAGAAUCUGUCAAAAACAGAACAGUCUGUAGUAAUCUGUAACUAACGCAAACUUCUGGAACUCCAAAAAUUCAGCCAAAAUAGGAUGACCUAGACAAUUUGUUUAUUGAUCAGCAGCAUUUGGAAUCAAUAUUUUAUCACGUUCUGGUGAGUUUUAACAAUUAUUUUCAUGAACAGAAAGUUUCUGGAAUUUUCUGCAAGAUCAAAUAACUAUCAUCCAAGAAGAUCCUAUAGGUUUAACUUGGCACAAACACGAAUUAAAACAUAAAAACACAUCUAACCAGAGGCUAGAUCAAAGAUUUAUUACUAAACAGAAGCAAAAAGCAAAAAACCAAAAAUAAAAUUGGGUUGCCUCCCAACAAGCGCUACCGUUUAACGCCCCUAGCUAGGCAUAAAAGCAAGGAUAGAUCUAGGUGUUGCCAUCUUUGGUAGGCAAUCCAUAAGUGGAUCUCAUAAUAGAUUCAUAAGGUAAUUUUAUUUUCUUUAUAGGGAAGUAUUCCAUGCCUUUCUUUAAUGGGAAUUGGAAUCUAAUAUUCCCUUCCUUCAUAUCAAUAAUUGCACCAAUCGUUCUAAGGAAAGGUCUACCAUGAAUAAUAGGACAUGAAGGAUUGCAAUCUAUAUCAAGAACAAUAAAAUCUACGGGCACAUAGUUCCUAUUUGCAACAAUAAGAACAUCAUUAAUUCUUCCCAUAGGUUUCUUAAUAGUGGAAUCUGCAAGGUGCAAGUUUAGAGAGCAAUCAUCAAAAUCACGGAAACCUAGCAAAUCACACAAAGUCUUUGGAAUCGUGGAAACACUAGCACCCAAAUCACACAAAGCAUAGCAUUCAUGAUAUUUAAUUUUAAUUUUAAUAGUAGGUUCCCAUUCAUCAUAAAGUUUUCUAGGGAUAGAAACUUCCAACUCAAGUUUUUCUUCAUAAGAUUGCAUCAAAGCAUCAACGAUAUGUUUGGUAAAGGCUUUAUUUUGACUAUAAGCAUGAUGAGAAUUUAGCACGGAUUGCAACAAGGAAAUACAAUCUAUCAAACAACAAUUAUCAUAAUUAAAUUCCUUGAAAUCCAAAAUAGUGGGUUCAUUAAUAUCUAAUGUUUUGAUCUCUUCAAUCCCACUUUUAUCAACUUUAGCAUCAAGAUCUAAAAACUCUGAAUUUCUGGAACGCCUUCUAGGUAAAGGUAGAUCAAAUUUAGUCCCAUCAUUAUCAAGAUUCAUAUUGCAAAACAAAGAUUUAAUAGGGGACACAUCAAUAACUUUUAGAUCUUCAUCUUUAUUUUCAUAGAAAUUUGAAGAACACGCUUUCACAAAGCAAUCUUUCUUAGCACUCAUCCUAGCGCUUCUUUCUUUGCACUCAUCAAUGGAAAUUCUCAUGGCUUUGAGAGACUCAUUGAUAUCAUGCUUAGGAGGAAUGAUCUAAGUUUUAAAGAAUCAACAUCAAGGGAAAUUCUAUCAACGUUCCUAGCCAAUUCAUCAACUUUAAGCAAUUUUUCUUCAAGCAAAGCAUUGAAAUUCUUUUGUGAAUUCAUAAAUUCCUUAACACUAGUCUCAAAUUCAGAAGGCAUCUUAUUAAAGUUUCCAUAAGAAUUGUUGUAGGAAUUACCAUAAUUAUUAGAGGAAUUACUAGGAUAAGGCCUAGGAUUAAAGUUUCCUCUAUACGCGUUGUUACCAAAAUUAUUCCUACCAACAAAAUUCACAUCCAUAGAUUCAUUAUUAUUCUCAAUCAAAGUAGACAAAGGCAUAUCAUUAGGAUCAGAAGAAACACUCUUAGUAGCAAAUAAUUUCAUAAGUUCAUCCAUCUUUCCACUCAAAACAUUAAUUUCUUCUAUCGCAUGCACUUUUUUAUUAGUAGAUCUUUCAGUGUGCCAUUGAGAAUAAUUAACCAUAAUAUUAUCUAGGAGUUUAGUAGCUUCUCCUAAAGUGAUUUCCAUAAAAGUGCCUCCCGCGGCCGAAUCUAAAAGAUUUCUAGAAGCAAAAUUCAAUCCGGCAUAAAAAAAUUGUAUAAUCAUCCACAAAUUCAAACCAUGCAUAGGGCAAUUACGUAUCAUUAAUUUCAUCCUCUCCCAAGCUUGUGCAACAUGUUCAUGAUCAAGUUGCUUAAAAUUCAUAAUAUCGUUUCUAAGAGAGAUGAUCUUAGCGGGAGGAAAAUAUUUAGAGAUAAAAGCAUCUUUGCACUUAUUCCAAGAAUCAAUACUAUUUUUAGGCAAGGACGAAAACCAAGCUUUAGCACGAUCUCUAAGCGAAAAAGGAAAUAGCUUCAAUUUAACAAUAUCGUUGUCUACAUCUUUCUUCUUUUGCAUAUCACACAAAUCAACGAAGCUAUUUAGAUGGGUAGCCGCAUCUUCACUAGGAAGGCCGGCGAAUUGAUCUUUCAUGACAAAAUUCAACAAAGCAGCAUUGAUUUCACAAGAUUCAGUAUCGGUAAGAGGAGCAAUCGGAGUGCUAAGGAAAUCAUUAUUGUUGGUAUUGGUAAAGUCACAUAAUUUGGUAUUAUCUUGAGCCAUCGUGACAAGCAAGCAAUCCAACACACGAGCAAACAAGAAGCAAGCAAAAAAGAAGCGAACGAAAAAAAGAGGGCGAAUAAAACGGCAAGGGUGAAGUGGGGGAGAGGAAAACAAGAGGCAAAUGGCAAAUAAUGUAAUGCAGGAGAUAAGGGUUUGUGAUGGGUACUUGGUAUGUUGACUUAUGCGUAGACUCCCCGGCAACGGUGCCAGCAAUGGCUCGUUGUCGGGAGUCCAAAUCUUGACUUGACCUUGCAUGAGCCUCCCCGACAACUGCGCCAGAAAUCCUUCUUGCUACCUCUUGAGCAUUGCGUUGGUUUUCCCUUGAAGAGGAAAGGGUGAUGCAGCAAAGUAGCGUAAGUAUUUCCCUCAGUUUUUGAGAACCAAGGUAUCAAUCCAGUAGGAGGCCACGCACGAGUCCCUCGCACCUACACAAACAAAUAAAACCUCGCAACCAACACGAUAAGGGGUUGUCAAUCCCUACACGAUCACUUACGAGAAUGAGAUCUGAUAGAUAUGAUAAGAUAAUAUUUUUGGUAUUUUUAUGAUAAAGAUGCAAAGUAAAGAAAACAAAAUAAAAAC
Molecule: long non-coding RNA, 6970 nt
Filed under: Triticum aestivum (bread wheat)
Lineage: Eukaryota; Viridiplantae; Streptophyta; Magnoliopsida; Poales; Poaceae
Description: long non-coding RNA (TAES_LNC000376)
Source: RNAcentral